This 628-nucleotide ribosomal RNA is filed under the name Bacillus anthracis (anthrax bacterium). Its description in RNAcentral is "bacterial LSU rRNA". It matches the Rfam family "Bacterial large subunit ribosomal RNA", at positions 2302 to 2925 of the family's 2925-position model. RNAcentral also lists the same sequence under 3 other names. The record is from RNAcentral. Lineage: Bacteria; Bacillati; Bacillota; Bacilli; Caryophanales; Bacillaceae.
GGAGGCGCCCAAAGGUUCCCUCAGAAUGGUUGGAAAUCAUUCGUAGAGUGCAAAGGCAUAAGGGAGCUUGACUGCGAGACCUACAAGUCGAGCAGGGACGAAAGUCGGGCUUAGUGAUCCGGUGGUUCCGCAUGGAAGGGCCAUCGCUCAACGGAUAAAAGCUACCCCGGGGAUAACAGGCUUAUCUCCCCCAAGAGUCCACAUCGACGGGGAGGUUUGGCACCUCGAUGUCGGCUCAUCGCAUCCUGGGGCUGUAGUCGGUCCCAAGGGUUGGGCUGUUCGCCCAUUAAAGCGGUACGCGAGCUGGGUUCAGAACGUCGUGAGACAGUUCGGUCCCUAUCCGUCGUGGGCGUAGGAAAUUUGAGAGGAGCUGUCCUUAGUACGAGAGGACCGGGAUGGACGCACCGCUGGUGUACCAGUUGUUCUGCCAAGGGCAUAGCUGGGUAGCUAUGUGCGGAAGGGAUAAGUGCUGAAAGCAUCUAAGCAUGAAGCCCCCCUCAAGAUGAGAUUUCCCAUAGCGUAAGCUAGUAAGAUCCCUGAAAGAUGAUCAGGUUGAUAGGUUCGAGGUGGAAGCAUGGUGACAUGUGGAGCUGACGAAUACUAAUAGAUCGAGGACUUAACCAUAUAA